Artibeus jamaicensis (Jamaican fruit-eating bat) is the source of this 2374-nucleotide long non-coding RNA. RefSeq lists it as uncharacterized. The transcript is spliced from 7 exons. NCBI's taxonomy places the organism in Eukaryota, Metazoa, Chordata, Mammalia, Chiroptera, Phyllostomidae. The record is from RefSeq and is a predicted model, not a curated record.
UGCUGGAGGCCUCUUCCCUGGGGUUCCUACAGCCUCGCCAGCCCCAUCCUGUAACCUUGGCGGGUCGCCCCACCCCGUUAGGACCCCGGAUCCGGCUGACGCACAGCAGUCACGAGGACGCAAUAGACCCACACCCGCAUCCCGUUCAGACCGGAAGACACGUUGUGACGCUUUAUGCGCAGGCGCGACGUGCAGUGGGGCGCUCCCGGUGCCGUCUGGGGGCGCUGCGGCUGCUAACACUGUGGGGGAGGGGAGGCCGCCGCGCCGGACCACGUGCAUACCACGUGGCACCUCGCAGACCGGGACCGAGUGACACCACCGAGGCUGCCUGAAUGAGCAUCGUGAAUAGCAAGUCUCUUCCAGGAGAUGCUGGGGCUGUUGCUGCUGGACUACAUUGAGAAUAUCAAAGGUGGACCUGGGUAGCACAGGACCAGCAGCAUUGACAUCUGGGAUUCGCUGGAAAUGAAGGCCCCCAGACCCCACCUCGGCCUCCUGGGUGCUUGCCAGCCACUUACUCCGGGCAUUCGCGGUUGGAUGUAGCGGUUCCCAAGAAGGGCGCUGUGCUGUCUCCAGUGUAUGGCCGUGGUGAAUAAAGCCACCGUGAUGAGCCCCGGACAGGCUUUUGUGUGCGGCGCCGAAUAUCACCGCGCCCGCAUUUUGCUGGGCCCGGUGUGUUCAUCCGUCUCCUGCUGAGGGACGUCUGGGCAGCUUCCACGUCGUGGCGGUCGGGAACACGGCCACGCAUAACCGCCCGAGUGCAGCUUCUCCAGCUGAAGGCCGCGGAGUCUGUCAGGUCAGCCGGGGGCUUCCCAGGAGGACGGCGCCUCGGAGGAGGAGGGGGUGUCCCUUCUGUCUCUUCGGUGCUGAUGCUCAGCCUGGGUCUGCUCCAAAUGAAGGGAUUCUGCAUCAUUGUUGCCUCUCUACUCGCCUCUAAUUUCUCCAGAACAAAUGGACUAUUCACAUCCCUGCCCAAGAGUAACGACCCUCUGAGGCGGGGGAGGCACGGGGGACCGGCUUCCUGGGCAAAGGCCACUGCUCUGUCCCAGACGCUCGCACAGAGAACCGCUCGCCCACGCCUGGAGUUGUCCCGCCGCCGCCUUGCCGUCUGACGGGCAGACGUGUUUCGGGGUGUGCCUUCCCGGCGGGCACUCGUCAGGGCCUCGUUAAGGAACUGCCACCUGCCUCCGCGCCCUGGAAAACCGCUGUGUUCUCCCGGGGCUCUUCGUCGUGCCCGUCACGUCCCCGGGAUGCUGGGAGGCGCUCGCUGGACGGUGUUUUCUCCACGGGGGUGUCCGUCGGCUCCAGCACCAUUUUCGAAAACGUCCUCCUCCCCCAACGAGUCUCGGUGGUGCCACCACCAUUACCGGUGUGACCACCUGCGCUCCAAGCUGCUCCUGGAUUUGGAAUGGCACCGGUGAGGGUCACUCACCUGUCCCCAAGCUGAUGGCACAGUGGACAUGCUCGUCUUGCCUUCUCUAGCCAAGCUUGGCCGUCUGGGAAACACUCUCUGCAGUUUGUCCAGGCUGCGUGGUUUUCCUUUUUGUUUGUUUGCCUCCGUGUUUCUGUCUUUAGAAACCACAACAAACUCUGUCUGCCUGUGACUGUCGGGCACAGCUGUUCUGGCUGGGGUGACAGGCAGGGGUUGAAGGCUCCCACCUACAGCUUCUGGUUCAGAGGCGGAGCCAGAGAAGAGUGUAAGCCACACGUACAUCCGGCAAUGACGCCUUGUGAACAGGGUUACCAAGGAAACUGAACUUGGUGGGACAGGCCAACAAUAGGACAAUGCCUUCGGUGGUCCCAAAGGCCACCUCCCAAGCCAGGGCUCUGGGGGGGGGGGGCCCCCCGGGGGGGGGGGCUGGGGCAUUGGGAAGGCCCGCCCUGCAGAGCAGAGGUUGGGUCCCAGGCCAGCUCACCCCCUGCCCUGGCUGUGUUCUAACAAAGGAGCAUAUACACUGGGGACAUUUCUUCAGUAAUGCAGGUGCCUAGAAGUGAUUCCUCCUGUGGCUGUAAGCUCCCCGAGUGCAAGGGCUGCAUGCAGUGAGUCUCUUGAGUUUCUUAGAUAAUUUGCUGCAGCAAAAAGUGGGUCCCGGAGGAAGCAGUUGUGGGAGGGCGUGGCCAACGCCUGGUCAGAAGCUGCAGGUGCGUCUCUGAGAGCCCCCCCCCCCCGCUUGUCCCGAGGUGAGUUGUUUUCCCGUUUUCGUGCUGGAAGGAGAAAGAAGGCGAACUGACCAGCCCACAGUGGCAGGCCCUGGGCCUUAUGGUUCCACUGGGAAGUCGGAACAGCACCCGCUCAUCACACCCUCGUCGAGUCAUGGACGGAGGGAGCCCUGGUGACCUGCAGGACACACUGCAGAAAGGGGACAGAUGGGUCACA